CUGUAUUUGUUGAGCAUGGCCUGUGUGUAGGCAGGGGAGAACUUGACACCGGAUUGGGUCUGUCCCAGACUUCCUCUAAUGAUCGUCUAGCAGAUGCUGUCCACACCCUGUCUGAGUCUCUGCAGCACACAGGGCUCUGGGGCAUGCUGGUUUCUUGCUGUAAGUUCUCACAACUCUCUGCCUGAGGGCUUCUCUGUGACCAUGGUAACUUGUUCAGUCUGUGCUGGGAGCAGGACCCAAAGGAUGGGAAUGGGGCUGAGAGAGUAAAUGUCCCUAGCAGCAGCCCUCCACCAAUCAUGAACUGGAAAUGGGAAAUGAAUACACUAACUUCUUGUCCGUCACAUGAGGCAGCUCAGAGGUGGGCAUUAUGUGCUCUCCCCAGCAGGAUUAAGCCCAGUUGCUCACGAGGGUGACCUGCUCUUUAACACACCCUGAAUUGAUUUCCUUUCCUUCCUCCUCUUACUCCCCCACUCUCCUGCAAGCAAUUCCUGGGAUUACUUCCAAAAUAAACAACUUACAUUCCAGUCCUCUCAGCAUCUGCUUUUGGAGGAAUCGAGCUUAAGACAAAAUGUUUAUUUUGACAAUAAAAGGUAAUGUAAGGAUUACAUUUCCUUCUUUAUAUUCUUCAGGACUGUCUAAAUGGUCUACAGUGAGUAUUUGACCAGGAAAAAAAAUCAAGCCAUCAAUGAGAAAAACAUCUGUCAUAUCACAUUGCAUUCUCUUGAUUUUUCUUAGAAACAGGGAAAUUUCACAAACAAGGCAAAUGAAUAAAUCCUUUCCCUCCUCUACACCCCCACUCCCUGCAAAAUAAAAUAAAAUAAAAUAAAAAAGGAAAUUAUCUUAGUUAUCUGUGGCCCAAGUUAUAAUUUGGGAGUUUCAUUGAACUAAAUAGGAAAAAAUAAUUAGUCUCAAAAUGUGGCAGAAUCCUCCUCAAUUUCAUCAGGAAAGGAGAAUAUGAAGAGAAACUCAUUUCCUCAAAUCCUAAUGAUUUCACAGGGAACCUCAUGUUAAUACCAUCAGAAACCUGGUGGGUUUGAAGCUAUAAUGUCAGAGGAGUCAAUGACAUCUUCUUCACCUGCUUCUCUCCUCUCCACUUAGAGCCUUCAAGAAUAAGAUGAAAGAGCUGUCCAUCCGUCAAUUCAACAAAAUUCAUAAUUAUUCGGUUGGUCACUGUGCCAGACUGGGAAAACAAUGUUGUAAAAGACAUACAAGUCUCCAAAGAAAAGGUACUGAUGGAGAAAGGCAUGAAACAAACAAACAGAGAAAAUGAUCAGAGGGAUUUCUGGUAAUUCUUUAAGGGAAAAUAGUGGGAAAAUGUGAUACACCAUGUCUUAGUAUGUUUUUCAUUGCUCUAAAUAUUGGCAACUGGUUGAUUUAUGAAGGAAAGAAGUUUAUUAAGUUCACAGUGUCAGAGGCUGAGAAGUUCAAGGGCAUGGCAGAAACAUCUGUAGAGGACUUUCAUACUGUGACAUAAUAUGAUAGAAGAAUGGAAGUGUAUCUGUGUGCCUAAAAGAGAAAAAACACAGGGGGAAGACUCACAUUAUAACUAAUCCAGUCCUGUGAGAAGAUGUCAAAUCCCAAGAGAAGGAGACUUAUCCCUCUUAAUGACCUGAUCCAACAAUGCCACAACAGCAAUCAACUUUCAAAGGGUAUCAUUCCAGAGGAGCCCUGCCCUAUACCUGGAGGAAGAAAUGCUACACAGAGAGGCCAAGAAGACAAAUCUGAACUCACGGGCCUUUCUGGGUUCCCUAGUCUAAUACCAUGAACUCAUUUCUUUCUGUCAAAUCACAUUUCUACCUAGCUGUUCAUCUUCCUUGAAUCUACAAAUAAAGACGUCAGUUUUCUCUA
Ictidomys tridecemlineatus (thirteen-lined ground squirrel) is the source of this 1848-nucleotide non-coding RNA. Lineage: Eukaryota; Metazoa; Chordata; Mammalia; Rodentia; Sciuridae. The record is from RefSeq and is a predicted model, not a curated record.